Molecule: long non-coding RNA, 1030 nt
Organism: Pocillopora verrucosa
Lineage: Eukaryota; Metazoa; Cnidaria; Anthozoa; Scleractinia; Pocilloporidae
Source: RefSeq, a predicted model, not a curated record
CUUUGCGAUGGAGAACUGUGAGUGUUUCGUCUAAUCUGGGAUUAGACGGCUUAGUUAAACACGAACUGUGGCGAACAAUUGGAUAGACAUUACAAAGAAGACUGAAAGAAACAGCUGAUGUUCAAAUACAUACUGACGCUAAGCAGGAAGAAUCAUUUCCAUCACAACUUCCAAAGAGUUUCUUCUAGCAUACCAACAGGGCAUAAUGCACUGCAUGAUGAAACUGAGAACUUCUGGUUGAUGUAAGAAACCAAUAAGUACAAGUAAAUCAUGAUGAACACAACUCUUGAGGUGAAUCCUCAAGAAGUGAGGCUGAUACUACACAAAAGGAUCCAUGUUACCCAUUACAAUUAGCAGCUGUUUUCUUUUUCAACCCAGAGGGCUUAGACUUGAGCAUACCAGCACCACAGGCAAGAAGAUUUUUGUGUCUUAAGUGCAUGGCAACUAGACACUUUGCAGGAGUGAUACAAGUACGAAGUGCGGACCUAUUUUUAAUAUGUCAAAUGUCUAUUUCUUGUGGCUGUACAGAUAAAUAAGUUUGUCAUCGAGGAACCUUGACUUCGAAUAUUACGAACAUAUUUUACGAUAGACAAGUGAGUAAACUAAUUAGAUUUUGAUUGCAACUAGUUUAAAAACCUUAUUUAAUGUUGUAAACAACUGCGGAGAGACCGUUCUCUGAGAAAUGAUGGUGAAAACUGGCUUAGAUUUGCAUUUGUUUGGUUCCCUUAAGGGACGAACAAUGAAAAUAAUAUGAAAAUAAAGAAUCUACAGGUAUGAACUUUGACUUACACAUCCUUUUUCUCAUUCGCCUUUGACGUGGAUGUACUAGCCAUUCGUAUACAGACAUUUCUUGUUACAAAUAAAGAUGUAUUUCUUGGACAUAAAUUGAAAUAAUGUUUCAAAGGUGAAAGAGUUGUUGAAGAACAAAACUUGCGUAAUACGCGAGCAGCCAUUUUAAUCAAAGAGACCGAGAAUUAUAUACGAAGACUGGGAACGACAUUUUGGAAUCAAUCAGCGUUGCGUUGUUCGU